RNAcentral lists this ribosomal RNA (427 nucleotides) under uncultured beta proteobacterium. RNAcentral's name for it is "bacterial SSU rRNA". It matches the Rfam family "Bacterial small subunit ribosomal RNA", at positions 355 to 774 of the family's 1533-position model. The record is from RNAcentral. Lineage: Bacteria; Pseudomonadati; Pseudomonadota; Betaproteobacteria.
UGGGGAAUUUUGGACAAUGGGCGAAAGCCAGAUCCAGCCAUGCCGCGUGAGUGAAGAAGGCCUUCGGGUUGUAAAGCUCUUUUAGUCGGAAAGAAAGAGUUGCAAUGAAUAAUUGUGAUUUAUGACGGUACCGACAGAAAAAGCACCGGCUAACUACGUGCCAGCAGCCGCGGUAAUACGUAGGGUGCGAGCGUUAAUCGGAAUUACUGGGCGUAAAGGGUGCGCAGGCGGUCUUGCAAGUCAGAUGUGAAAGCCCCGGGCUUAACCUGGGAAUUGCGUUUGAAACUACAAGGCUAGAGUGCAGCAGAGGGGAGUGGAAUUCCAUGUGUAGCAGUGAAAUGCGUAGAGAUGUGGAAGAACACCGAUGGCGAAGGCAGCUCCCUGGGUUGACACUGACGCUCAUGCACGAAAGCGUGGGGAGCAAACA